Molecule: unclassified non-coding RNA, 553 nt
Filed under: Hevea brasiliensis (rubber tree)
Lineage: Eukaryota; Viridiplantae; Streptophyta; Magnoliopsida; Malpighiales; Euphorbiaceae
Source: RNAcentral
CUUGAAGAUAUGAUAAUUUAUAAAGUUGCUUGCUCUUGAUCCAUUAUUUCCUUUUAUUUUAUUUAUUUUGGUAACUCUACAUCAAAUUGAUUUUUGUUUUGUAGUAUUGUUAUUUGACUGCAUUUAUUGGUGAACUGUUUAUUACCAUGUAAACUGGGCAGUAAAACUUCAUGGUGUCAUCUUUAGAGACAUGUUUGAAUCCCAGUUACAUCUGGGAUGAAAUGGUUAAGAGGCUUACCCCAGAUACCUAGCUGCUGAAAAAAAGAAAAAAGAAGAGAGAGAUUAUUUGCAUUUAGUUUGUCUAAUUUAUGAUGAUUUUACGUCCCUUUAUUUUAGUGGAUCAUUUCUACUUUUCUGAACUUUGGCUGUAUUUCAUGGUCUGUUAAUUUACCGUAAUUUGUAAUUACAUUAAUGUAUUUUUGUAUUAUUUCAUUUCCUUUCUUGUGCAAUUUUUUGUUGUAUUAAAUAGUUGCUGAACUAAAUGAUUUUUUGUAUUUCCCUUAGUGAAUGAUUAAGAUAAUGAUUUUUGUCAUUUUUUCUUUUUGGAGAAUUU